This is a non-coding RNA of Trichobilharzia regenti, 46 nucleotides long. The record is from Rfam. Lineage: Eukaryota; Metazoa; Platyhelminthes; Trematoda; Strigeidida; Schistosomatidae.
GUACUGCUGAAGAGUCCCAAACUGAAACGAAACAGCUGUCCAGUAC